GAUGAACGCUGGCGGCGUGCCUAAUACAUGCCAGUCGAGCGAACAGACGAGGAGCUUGCUCCUCUGACGUUAGCGGCGGACGGGUGAGUAACACGUGGAUAACCUACCUAUAAGACUGGGAUAACUUCGGGAAACCGGAGCUAAUACCGGAUAAUAUAUUGAACCGCAUGGUUCAAUAGUGAAAGACGGUUUUGCUGUCACUUAUAGAUGGAUCCGCGCCGCAUUAGCUAGUUGGUAAGGUAACGGUUUACCAAGGCAACGAUGCGUAGCCGACCUGAGAGGGUGAUCGGCCACACUGGAACUGAGACACGGUCCAGACUCCUACGGGAGGCAGCAGUAGGGAAUCUUCCGCAAUGGGCGAAAGCUUGACGGAGCAACGCCGCGUGAGUGAUGAAGGUCUUCGGAUCGUAAAACUCUGUUAUUAGGGAAGAACAAAUGUGUAAGUAACUAUGCACGUCUUGACGGUACCUAAUCAGAAAGCCACGGCUAACUACGUG
Molecule: ribosomal RNA, 497 nt
Filed under: uncultured bacterium
Lineage: Bacteria
Description: partial 16S ribosomal RNA
Rfam family: Bacterial small subunit ribosomal RNA
Source: RNAcentral